UGACCCCAUGCCGAACUCAGAAGUGAAACGCCGUAGCGCCGAUGGUAGUGUGGGGUUUCCCCAUGCGAGAGUAGGGAACUGCCAGGC
This 87-nucleotide ribosomal RNA is filed under the name Escherichia coli. The record is from RNAcentral. Lineage: Bacteria; Pseudomonadati; Pseudomonadota; Gammaproteobacteria; Enterobacterales; Enterobacteriaceae. RNAcentral also lists the same sequence under 1 other name.